AAUUCCAUGAUGGAUGUAUGCAAAGAAUUUGCUGUUCGGGCGUGGUGUCCUCAGUGCUGAGAGCCCCGCGGCGCCGGUGCAGCUCCUCCAGGGCGCGCAGCCCCGCCGCCUGGUGCCACCGCGAGGGAGCGCAGGCCCAGGGCCCGGGCAGACGCUGGAAGGGACGCGGCAGAUGAAGAUGGGGCACCUCCACUUCCCUUCUAAAUGAGCUUGGGAAUAGGCCAGGAAAUGUCCCCAUUGUAGAAAACAGCAGGCACAUCUGACACGCGGAUAACCUGUGUUGAGCUCGUUAUAUUCCCAGCAUUUAAUUCUAGCCAUUAGGCAAGCGUUAGCCACAGCUUCGCAUAGGAAGGUUAUUGCAGCUAUAUGGGAACACUUUCAGUUCCCCAAGUUAAAACAUGAAAUUGCACAUCAUCAUUUGGAUCCCUAAAGAGGAAAAGAAAAAUUCACAACCUGCCAGUGAAAUACUCAGGCCACUUGGAUGAAGACCAAGGUCCUUUCCAUAAAAUCCAGGUGUUAUUUACUAACUAAUCAUAAAUGAAUAUCAAAAUGGGACUUAAAAAUAACAAGGCUGUGUUAUAACAGCAGUCUUUCCAGUUGUGUAUGCUUUACUAAUCUAAAUUGGGUAACAGAACCGGAGAAAAGGAAGACUACACAGAUUUAUCAUAAGCCAUUAGUGAACAUGAUA
This 688-nucleotide non-coding RNA is filed under the name Pongo abelii (Sumatran orangutan). Lineage: Eukaryota; Metazoa; Chordata; Mammalia; Primates; Hominidae. The record is from RNAcentral.